Molecule: long non-coding RNA, 1736 nt
Organism: Lolium rigidum
Lineage: Eukaryota; Viridiplantae; Streptophyta; Magnoliopsida; Poales; Poaceae
Exons: 6
Source: RefSeq, a predicted model, not a curated record
CUCCGCUAUGGCAGGUGAGCAGGCCUCCCAAUUGUGAUUUCGUCGCCGUCGCUCCCGAUGCCUCCUUUGCCCACAUCCUGCUGGUGCUCGCCGUGGGCGGCCGACGCAGGAAGAACCGCCGCCGCCUCCGUACGGCCAAAACAAAGGAUCUCCGAGCCGCUCAAGCUCUUAUGUGCCCUCUUCCUGCUGCUUUCGGUCCUAGCCAUCGCCGUCGGCCACUGGAAGAUCCCAGGUCUCGAUUUUGUGAGGGACUGUGUCCAUGAGUUGAAGCCUGUAGAAAGUGAGUUGCAGGUCACCGUUGCUCCCCGGGUUGCCCCUGUCGAGAAGUUGCCGAUUGGACGCUGGGAAAUUGAGGGAGAAGGAAAAGUUCUGGAGCGGCGACCUCGGUUGAGGUCAGAUAGGCGCGGCCGUGCUCUGGUUCGUGAAGAUUGCGCUCGCGUUCCCCGCAUCAGACAUUCACGCUGAGAGAUUGUAGAGGGCUGCUCUCAAAUCCGGGAUCUACAGUUUGUUGUUUGGAGAUGUCUGUGGAAAUUUCUGUAUUCGGCCCACUUAAAUAUGAUCAUCAUAUCUGAUGUACUUCUCAUGGUAUAUGCCACUCCAUACAGGCUAAGGAUUCAUCAAAUGGUGACAACUUGGUGAGAAUUAGCAGGAAUACUAUCAGUUUUGAAAAGGAGAAGAGAGAAGACGGGAGGACCAAGGUGCCUCGUCCUAUACUGAUGUGCUACUGUUGUUACACUAGCGAGUGGCGAUGGGAUCUGCCUCUAUUACUUUACUGGAUCGGCUGACUGACUGGCGAUGGAGGUACCAAAUUUUCUUUCAUUAUACGUGUGGUUCAGUGUAGCAUUUUUUUAUCUAUGACUCUUAAAUUGGCCAGUAGAAAGGCGUCAAAUGCAGACGCUUUAAAGGAAUCUUCCAUGGAAUAAUCUUUUAGUGUUUUAGCACAGCUCACUGGUCCUUGGUUAUCACUAUAGGGAAAUGUUACUUCCUGGAAAGGUAUCUUGCAUUCAUAUGUCAUGAAUCUUCAUAUGGACCAUCUUUGUGACGCUGGCGAAAACAUUCUAUUUUAGUGAGGGAGCUGUUAGACUAUAAACCUGAGAUAUAUGUCAUAUGAUAGAGAAGCAGUUAAUGAAUCUUUAAUCAGCUGAAGGCAUACUUUAUGAACAUUUGGAAGCUCAUUGAAGGGGCCGAGAUAAACUUUUUUGGCUCCUGCAUAAGAAGGGUAUGAUCCAAAAUCAAUUGUUGGACAAGUAUGUCGUGGAUUUUGGGAUCUGAGACGUUCACAUGCUAGAUCUUCUCUAAGGCUCCCAUCCCAUUGAAGAUAAAAAAAUUUCCUUCGGCUUGGCUUUCAUGGCGAAACUCAAGUGUUGAACGCCUUCUCGACGGUAGCUUGCUCCGUGAUCCUAGAUUUGAGGUUUGUGGUAUUCGUGAAGCCAUGAUAACUUAUUGUCUUUCCUCUACUGAUGUAAGAGUAACUUGAUUGGGCAUCAGCUUCAUAUCUUAUACGCUGGUGAUGAAGAUAGAAGUGUCAUCGGUUAAAGAUUCUUGAUAAGUUCAUGUCCCUCAGCCUGUACCACAUUGUAGCUAUUAGUUUCCCAUCACUGUAGCAACAAAACUGAGCUCCCUUUUUUUUUUUUUGCAUUAUGUGGUUUCAUUGUAAUAGAAAUGGUUUUGCUCAUGUAAUUUAGAUGUUUUUAUCACUUUGAAUACAAAGCUGGGUUGUAUUGCUCCUGCUUUUC